GACGAACGCUGGCGGCGUGCUUAACACAUGCAAGUCGAACGGAAAGGCCCUGCUUUUGUGGGGUGCUCGAGUGGCGAACGGGUGAGUAACACGUGAGUAACCUGCCCUUGACUUUGGGAUAACUUCAGGAAACUGGGGCUCAUACCGGAUAGGAGCUCCUGCUGCAUGGUGGGGGUUAGAAAGUUUCGGCGGUUGGGUCUGGACUGGCGGCUUAUCAGCUUGUUGGUGGGGUAGUGGCUUACCAAGGCUUUGACGGGUAGCCGGCCUGAGAGGGUGACCGGCCACAUUGGGACUGAGAUACGGCCCAGACUCCUACGGGAGGCAGCAGGGGGGAAUAUUACACAAUGGGGGGAAGCCUGAUGCAGCAACGCCCCGUGCGGGAUGACGGCCUUCGGGUUGUAAACCGCUUUCGCCUGUGACGAAGAGUGAGUGACGGUAAUGGGUAAAGAAGCACCGGCUAACUACGUG
This 468-nucleotide ribosomal RNA is filed under the name uncultured bacterium. Its description in RNAcentral is "partial 16S ribosomal RNA". It matches the Rfam family "Bacterial small subunit ribosomal RNA", at positions 28 to 507 of the family's 1533-position model. The record is from RNAcentral.